Triticum urartu is the source of this 6017-nucleotide non-coding RNA. The record is from RefSeq and is a predicted model, not a curated record. Lineage: Eukaryota; Viridiplantae; Streptophyta; Magnoliopsida; Poales; Poaceae.
CUAAGAGGAAAAAACAAAAGGAAAGUUAAUUUGGGCACUCCAAGCCGUCCGAGCCCUUCUUGCGCUUUCUCCACCUCUAGGUUUCCCGCCGCCGCCCCCGCGUCCGAUGCACCUCCGCUGCCCGAGCAAGGAGCAGCAACUCUUCUUCUACUGCGGCGCUUCAAAACGGCGUCUCUGCAGGUAUGCUAGCGCCUCGUCUUCUCUUGUUUCUUACUGAUGCAAACCGGAAAUGGGUAAAUAUGGAGAUUAGCCAAUGAGAUAUGGUUGUUAAAUUUGUCUUUUGUGGUACAUUUUUUUGAGGAAAUCGGUGAUAACGCAAGGAACUAAGACCUUCAGUGAGACUGUCUUUGGUGUAUUAGCGAAAUUUGUUCAUCGGAUAGAGCUUUGAAUAGAUUAGCCAUCCUCCUCUCUAUUUACAUUCAUGUGCAGAAUGGGUGGUGUUGCAGCGCCUCUAGGUUACCUGAGGUGGGGGAGACUUGAUCCACCUCCUCCUUGUUUCUAUAGAUCUUUCGCCAAAGAAGGUUGCAGAGAUAUCAAUCUAGAAGAAGAAUGAGGGGGGAUUGGGAAUGUUCUGUAACUAUUUUUAUUGCUAACUUAGAUGGGAUUACAGUUCAUUGGUUUCAUUAUUUGGUCAUGUCUAAUUUUGCUAGCUAAGAUGCUAGCCCCUAUGCUGAACAAUGUUACAUUUUGACUCAUCUAGACCAUCCUUGUUGCAACCCUCACCUUAGCUGCUAAUGGUACCAAUUGUGCUGCUGGGGUUGUUGUUUUUGGUUGUUGAGAAGGAUGCUACCAGUUAUGCCUUUGUUUGUGCAAACUUUAUGAUUAGCAGGUACAGUGAGCACCCUUCAGAACCUCUUGUUUCUUCUUUGCUCAAGUUACAUUACGUAUCAAGAUGUGAGUUACUAAAUGUUCAUGUAUGUAUCAUGGAUGGACACUACCUCUUGUAUUGUUGAUUGGUUUGCAGGCUUAAUGGUUCUGGUUCAGGUAGAAGAGCUUCAGCCUUAGAAGAUUUCUGGGAGAAUCGAUUAUGAAGCUUAUGCCAUGUGAUGGCAGUAUUAACCCCUUCAUGGAAAUGUGUUUAAAAGAAGCACUUGCCUUUGGAAUUAAAGAUCAGUUUAUGACACUGACCAGAGAUCAUACCAAGGGAUUUCAGGGCUAGCAAAUAUGCUAAACAUAAAUACAGAGAGGCAAUCAGGCAGUGGAUUUCCGAUAUUGAUGCGAGAAAAAUUCCUUUGGCUCAAAGCCCACUUACUGAUAUUCUCAUGGUGUUUUAACCAAUAUAUAUAUACCAUCGGCUCGACGGCGAGGAGGGAAACCCCGCAGACCGAGGACAGCGCGAUGACUGUGCCGCAUGUGAAGAGCAUGGUCAUGUCAUGGGACCACACAUCAGUGGUGGUCUGCUUGCCUGCUAUGGCGUCAAACACGACUACACCCUUUUACUCGGCCUAUUCGGAUUGGAUUGGGCAGGGUGCUCUUUUGCUUUAAAGAUAGGAUAGGUGGAUAUAUUUGGUUUUAUGAUGGACAGGUUGAUCAAAAUCACAUGGCCUUUUUUCAAGUUUGAGAAGAAAAAGACACUAGAACAGGUGAUUGAUCACAACCAUACUUUCAGAGAUUUAUAUUUGAACUUUUUCAGUUACAAUUAAAGGCAGAAGGUAGCAGUUGACAUUAUUGGUAAAUUAAUUCUCUGCAUUUACAUAUGUGCUGAUGUAACUAACAUACAUCUAUACAUGGCUUUACUGAGCAUGAUCUUGCAUUUGCUACAGCCUGCUAUGGUCAAAAUGCCUGAACCUAAGAAUAUGCUACCACAGUACCUACGUUUCUCUGUAGAAAAGGUCAAGUGUAAUCCUAAUUUGGGCUACUGAAUUUUAGCCCCUUCACUGGUUAUACAAUGGUUAUCUACAUGUUUAUGACCGAUGUUUCACAGCGGAGGGAGUAUUUAGGAAUGCAUACAAGCAAUUCCUGUAUGAAGCAACACCACAUAAGCUCUAUAUUUCAGAACAAGCAUUCUGCAUUUUCAGAGAUUAAUCUGUGUCGAUAUAUUCAGUGUUUAAGAAGGGCGAUCGAUGCGCUUUGGUGUACAUGAUGAGCAUACUUCAUCCACCGCUGCCGCCUCCUCCCAUCCCAGAUCCGCUGCCGCCACCGGAGGAAGGGCCCCUCCCGAGACCCGCUUCUCCCUCGAGUCAGGUCGUGUGGGCGCCAUCGUCGUCUUCUGCCUUCGGUGCGUGGCACCACUGCCGGAGAGAGCGACGAGGAGGUCCAGCAGCCCGUGCUUUCAUCGUCGUGUGGCGCCAAAAGAAUGACGAGGAGGCGGAGCAGUUCGUGGUGUCUUCGUCAUCGCCGGCCGUGCUGGUAUGUUGUGCUCCUUUCCCUGCUCAGCCGCCUAUGCUACUCCACCACCACGGGAUACAAGUAUGGCCCUGCCAUGGCUGAGUGGAGGAUGAUCAGUUCGUCUGAAUUUUCCAAUUCUUCUUGGCCGUAGUUUUUAGGUAUUUCUGGCGAUCUGUGAUUUGUUCACUAUCUCGCAUCGUAUGAUGCGCCUCCCCGUGUUGACGUGGUGUGAUUGAUACAAUCUUGUGGCCGAUGGCUGAUAGCCCGGGCAGAUUCAGCUGAUACUGGUUUGGUAGGGUGAGAAAAACUGUGUAGUACACAUGCUAUGUGCUCGCAGUAUAGACAGAACGGUGGAUGUUUCUGAGCUACUGUGAUUUUGCUUGCUACUUCAAUUAGGAAGUGAGUACGGAGCAUACAAGGAUUUGUCGGCGUGCUAAUUUUGACAUUGAGUUAUCCUUGAGGGCCAUACUGGUUUGCUUGUUGGCAUGUAUUUUUCUCAAGCGAGUGAAGGGGUGGCAAAUUGAUGGUUACAACAUGACCUGGAAUUGCUUUGCUUCCUGGAAUCCAAUUGGCUGCCCUAAAAAUGUAUUGCAGCAACUUGAAUCUGGUAGUGUUAUUUUGUGUUAACAAGACUUUUAGGUCUUGCAUUUGUGCCACCAGUGCACUUCAUCUGAUGAUGCUCAAAGAUUUCUUCAUAGGAAUCAGCUCUUCAGUUUAAGGCUUUCAGACGAAGUAUAUACUAUUGAAAUUUGUAUGCAAGUUCAAGCAAAUGACUCAAAAAAGAGUCUUUGCCUUAGAGCAUGGAAGGACAUUUGCAAUUCAAAAGAUGAAGGUGGCUUAGGUGUCAGAAAUUUAAAAGCUAUUAAUGAGAGUCUUCUUAUUUCUGCUGCCUGGAGGUUAGCCAAGUUCCCUUCUUCUCACUUGCAUCUUGUGCUUAAGGCUAAGUACUUUCAUGAUGCUUCUAUCUGGACAGCUACUGCUAUUUCUCCCAAAUCAGCUUUCUGGGCCUCUAUUUUGAAAUUGUUGCCUAAACUUAAAGCUCAUUCUUUUUAUCAGUUAUCUCAAGGUUAUUUCGAUUUGGAGCAUACCUUGGUGCACUCUUUGGAGCUCGGUUCAUGAUCAUCUUAUUGCUCAACAACCUGGUUUUAUAUAUCCUUCUUUAGUUAAAGAUCUUUGGCUUCCAGGUCAAAAAAGUUGGAAUCAUGAUCUUGUUUUCUCCCUUUUCCAGCAACCUUUGGCCUCUCUCAUUGUUCAAACUGAAAUUAUUGAUGACGAAAGUCCAGACUUGCUUUGUUGGGAUCUUACCCCUAAUGGAAUUUGUUCUUCUAAAUCUGCAUAUAAACUCUGUUUACAGGAGAUUCAUGCUAAUCCCAGAAAUGCGCCUGCUACUCUUCCUUUGGAUUUGUUAGAUUUUCUCAAAUUAAUUUGGAAACAGAAGGAUUUGCUUCCUAGGGUCAAAACUUUCGCCUGGAGAUUACUUAGAAAGGCCUUGCCUACGGGUUUGCGAGCUGGUCGUUUUUCCAUUCAUACUUCUAAAAAUUGUUGUCGUUGUGGCCAGCAAGAGGAUGAGUUCCAUCUAUUUUUUCUGUGUAACUUUUCCCGUGCGGCUUGGUUUUCCUCUCCUUGGUUCCUUCGAUCGGAUGCUUUAAUUCAGGGCCAUUCCACUAUGCAUUCUGUUCUUUUUGACUUGCUUCGUAUGGGACAUCCUCAUGGUUCUAUUUCUAGUGUUUUAAAUUUUUUGUGGUGUCUCUGGAAGGCUAGAAAUGAUUUUCUCUUUGAUAGAAAAAAGGCUCUUCCCCACCAAGUUCAUAUUGCAGCUCUUGCUUUAGCUUCUGAUUGUUAUGAUAAUCUUCCAUGUUUACCUUCAAAGCAGGAUCAAGCUCAUAAUCAAUUGCCUCCUAAUUUGCUCCCUAUGCAAGGUAGAACGCUUAAGACAGAUCUGUUAAUUGUUGGCCCUAAGAUCUAUUCUGAUGCUGCUUAUAGGACCAAGAAAGUUCCAGGUUUGUUGCAAGGAGAGGUUGCUACAGGUGUGGGAGUGUACAUCUCUAUGCCCUUCAACCAAAAGGAAAUUAAUGUGCAAGUUCAAGCUUCGGCUUCUCCUACUUCUACUCCUCUGCAAGCUGAAGCAUUGGCUCUUUCUUUUGCUGCUCAUCUUGCUUCUCAACUCAAUAUUGCGCAGCCCACUUUUCUUUUGGAUUGUCUUGCUUUAGCUUUGGCUGUUGCCUCAGGUAAUAUUUGUGAUUCUGCCACCCCUUGGAAUAUUAGAAAGUCUUUGGCUAGCUUUUUCAAAUGUACAUCUAAUUUGCAACCGCGCGUGUUUCAUAUUUCUAGAGAAAUCAAUGGUAUUGCUCACAAUCUUGCGCAACAGGUUUUUCGUUCUGAUGGGCACACUCAACUCUCUUGUUUUGCUGCUACUCAUUCUCAAGUUUCUUGUCCUGUGUUGCCCCUUCUUUCAAAUUUCCAGAUUCAGGGUUUUAGAAUUCAUACUAUACAUUGCUACUAACAACCUUGUUGUGCAUGGAUCUUCUGCUUCUAUUCACAGUGUUGCUGUGCUGGCUUCUAUACUCUCUCUCUCUCUCUUUCAGGAUGCGCCUUUGCCAGAUUAAGGAUGGUCUUCUUCAACCUGCUGGUUUCUCACAGGAAAAGGAAUCCUCUUCCAUGUUGUGCAUUUUGCAGAGUUUGCCAAGCUGAGGCCAGUUGACGUCUUAAGCUCUGCAGGAUUAAAUUUAGAGGCUUGUAUUACACCUGCCUUUGGGUGCUUCAGUACACUUUCAAGUCAUCUUUGUUUGGCACACUUGUUGUUUUAGGCUGUCUGUUGUCUGUCUUUCUGUUCUUCUGAUCAUGGUGUUCAUCAGUUGGGGUUUCCCUCUCUGUCUUCCAGGAUAGUUCCUCAGCUCAUAUAGCCUUAGACUCUGCUUCUCUUUCUUUCAAUUUCUUGGCAGGUCUAUGUAAUGCUUGAUGUACUCUGUCAAUGAGCUGAAUGAAAUUGGCACCUGUUGGUGCCUUCUCUUGUUCAAAAAAAAAAUGUAUGCAAGCUUAAUCCCAUGUGGAAUCUAAACUAGCUGGGUUCACUCAUAUGUUUUAACUUUAGGUUUAUAGUCUAUAGUAUAUAGAACGCAUGAAAUGUCCAUCUUCAAAAUAUUACUGUUGGUACCAGAGGAAGGGAAAUGGUUUAGGCAUUGUGUGGAACACGGGAUUUUUUUCCUUAAUACUGCAGAAAACGUAGGGUUUCCUGUAAAAUUUACGCUCUUAAAAUAUGCCAUUAACUCUAUCCAUGCUGGUAUUUUUACUACAUCCAUCUGUUGAAACCGAGAUUCUUCUUGGCAGGCUGACCAUGACACAGAGUUAGAGGCCAUCAGGCAGAGGCGAGUGCAAGAGCUAAUGGGACAACAUGGUGGUGCGCGUUGGAGGGAGUGUCGCGUCUUGUGGCAACUGCGCCACCAAUCAAUUGCCUAGGCCAGCUGGCCGAUGCGCUCUGUGUAUCCGAGGAUGACGUUCGAUUUGACCUGACCAGCAGCCGCUGCCGCUCCCACAACCACAUCACCGGCCAUCCAGUGGGCUUCUUAUACCCAUCUAUGUUCUUUGCAACAUUGUACCGCAGAACGUAGAUUUUAAUUCAGUGUGUCGAUCCUACAUGCUUAUUAAUGAACAUGCAGCGUUGGAGGGAGUGUCGCGUCUUGUUGUAUUCA